AGGGCCUUAGCUCAGUGGUAGAGCGGGAGUCUCCAAAGCUCCGCGUCGUGGGUUCAAUUCCCCCAGGCCCUG
RNAcentral lists this transfer RNA (72 nucleotides) under Patescibacteria group bacterium. RNAcentral's name for it is "tRNA-Trp". It matches the Rfam family "tRNA". Rfam says of the family: Transfer RNA (tRNA) molecules are approximately 80 nucleotides in length. The record is from RNAcentral.